RNAcentral lists this ribosomal RNA (579 nucleotides) under uncultured bacterium. RNAcentral describes it as "bacterial SSU rRNA". It matches the Rfam family "Bacterial small subunit ribosomal RNA", at positions 338 to 916 of the family's 1533-position model. The record is from RNAcentral.
CCUACGGGAGGCAGCAGUAAGGAAUAUUGGUCAAUGGACGAAAGUCUGAACCAGCCAUGCCGCGUGAAGGAUGAAGGCCCUCUGGGUUGUAAACUUCUUUUAUAGGGGACGAAAAAAGGGCAUUCUUGCUCACUUGACGGUACCCUAGGAAUAAGCACCGGCUAACUCCGUGCCAGCAGCCGCGGUAAUACGGAGGGUGCAAGCGUUAUCCGGAUUUACUGGGUUUAAAGGGUGCGUAGGUGGGUUGGUAAGUCAGCGGUGAAAUCUUCGAGCUUAACUCGGAAACUGCCAUUGAUACUAUCAAUCUUGAAUCAUCUAGAGGUAAGCGGAAUAUGUCAUGUAGCGGUGAAAUGCUUAGAUAUGACAUAGAACACCAAUUGCGAAGGCAGCUUACUAUGGAUGUAUUGACACUGAGGCACGAAAGCGUGGGGAUCAAACAGGAUUAGAUACCCUGGUAGUCCACGCCCUAAACUACUGGAUACUCGACAUUUGCGAUAUACUGUAAGUGUCUGAGCGAAAGCAUUAAGUAUCCCACCUGGAAGUACGAUCGCAAGAUUGAAACUUAAAGGAAAUUGACGG